GGAACAUUGGUGUACUUGGUGUUGCACGUAUGUUUGAAGCACAUAAGGUAUUCGUUCGAUUCGAAUCUGUUCCAC
This 75-nucleotide transfer RNA is filed under the name Flavobacterium okayamense. RNAcentral describes it as "tRNA-Phe". It matches the Rfam family "tRNA". From Rfam's summary of the family: Transfer RNA (tRNA) molecules are approximately 80 nucleotides in length. Their secondary structure includes four short double-helical elements and three loops (D, anti-codon, and T loops). The record is from RNAcentral. Lineage: Bacteria; Pseudomonadati; Bacteroidota; Flavobacteriia; Flavobacteriales; Flavobacteriaceae.